UACGGGGGGAGCAAGCGUUGUUCGGAUUUACUGGGCGUAAAGGGCGCGUAGGCGGCGCAACAAGUCACUUGUGAAAUCUCCGGGCUUAACCCGGAGCGGCCAAGUGAUACUGUCGUGCUAAAGUGCGGAAGGGGCUACUGGAAUUCUCGGUGUAGCGGUGAAAUGCGUAGAUAUCGAGAGGAACACCUGCGGCGAAGGCGGGUAGCUGGGCCGACACUGACGCUGAGGCGCGAAAGCCAGGGGAGCGAACGGG
This 253-nucleotide ribosomal RNA is filed under the name uncultured bacterium. RNAcentral describes it as "partial 16S ribosomal RNA". It matches the Rfam family "Bacterial small subunit ribosomal RNA", at positions 524 to 776 of the family's 1533-position model. The record is from RNAcentral.